This 562-nucleotide ribosomal RNA is filed under the name uncultured bacterium. RNAcentral describes it as "bacterial SSU rRNA". It matches the Rfam family "Bacterial small subunit ribosomal RNA", at positions 347 to 910 of the family's 1533-position model. The record is from RNAcentral.
GGCAGCAGUAGGGAAUAUUGGGCAAUGGUGGCAACACUGACCCAGCCAUGCCGCGUGCAGGAAGAAGGCCUUCUGGGUUGUAAACUGCUUUUGGAAGGGAACAAAACGGGCAUGCGUGCCAACUUGAGUGUACCUUCAGAAUAAGCACCGGCUAACUCCGUGCCAGCAGCCGCGGUAAUACGGAGGGUGCAAGCGUUGUCCGGAUUUAUUGGGUUUAAAGGGUGCGUAGGCGGCCUGUUAAGUCAGGGGUGAAAGACUGCAGCUCAACUGUAGCAGUGCCUUUGAUACUGAUGGGCUUGAGUCUAGAUGAGGCCGGCGGAAUGGGUGGUGUAGCGGUGAAAUGCAUAGAUACCAUCCAGAACACCGAUUGCGAAGGCAGCCGGCUAAACUACAACUGACGCUGAGGCACGAAAGCGUGGGGAUCGAACAGGAUUAGAUACCCUGGUAGUCCACGCUGUAAACGAUGCGAACUCGAUGUUAGGGAUAUACUCUUAGCGUCCAAGCGAAAGCGUUAAGUUCACCACCUGGGGAGUACGCCCGCAAGGGUGAAACUCAAAGGAAU